UGUACCACUGAAUCUGUAAUGUGCCUGUACCACUGAAUCUGUAAUGUGUCUGUACCACUGUAUCUGUAAUGUGCCUGUACCACUGUAUCUGCAAUGUGCCUGUACCACUGUAUCUCCUACGACAGUAGCUGUACAUUGGCUUGUUCUGUGAUUCCCCUCCAGGAUGAUGAGACAGGCCAUGUUCUUCCUUUUGCUGGCUCUUCUUGGAACAUCUACUGGUGCCAUUGUUCCAAGUCAGAACAGUCUUUUUAUCGUUCUGUGAAGUGGAGGUUUAUGGGUACCUCGCCCCAACUGGAAAUAAUGCAGCUUUACAGGGAAAACCCACCCAGUCAUCAUUGUGUGGGUUUGGUUUUGCUUACAAUGCCAUUGAUGGGAAUCACAACGGUAUUUGGGAAGAUGGUUCCUCCUCCUGCACCAACACCAAAGUGAAAGUUAACCCUUGAUGGCAGUUGGACCUUCUGUGGACUCAUAAAGUGUUCUCCAUCACCAUCCCCAACCGAAUAGACGGGACUUUCAGUAGACUGAAUGGUUCUGAGUUCCGCAUUGGUGACUCCCUGACAAAACAAGAACAAUGGCAACAGCAAUCCCAGGUGAACUGUGGGAGUUAAAGUCAAUGCUAUAUUUGACAAAAGGUUGGUUAGCACAACUGUGUACAGACUGUAGAGAUAGUUAGAGGACACAACAUUCUAUCUGUCCCAUUAUGGCGUCUCUGAGAGCAUGAGCAGUGCCAUUGAGGCCAUCUCUAUUUUGAAGUAGCACAUUCUAUUUUCUACUACUUCUAUGAGUUGAUAAACAAACUGAAAGGAUGCGUACUGCCACGUUGAAUGUGCUGUUUGAACGGGUAUAAAGCCAAGGUUGACUAUUUACUGCCUCCUGCAGUUACAGAAUAUUUGCUCACGAGUAUAAUUCAUUGGCUGAUCCCUCCUGGAAUUAUGUGAUCCUUCCUUAACCCAUAGAAAGUCCCACCCAGUUGAGUACUUCAAAAUGGUGAAAGUCCUCAAUGGCACUCCAUAUGCUAAAACGGGCUUUUGGUCACUUGAGUCCUCUAUCUCUAUGGUGCAGCCUGACUUACAACACCAGGAAAUGUGUUGAAUUGUCAACAUUAUUGAGUGGUUCACUAUAUGAGUCUGAUGAGUUAACAUGGAGCUGCUUGUGUUAUAGUUACUGUUCUAAAGCUGUUUCGAUUUCCUCCUGCAGGUGUGCUGUGAUCUCUUCUAUUCCAGCUGGCUUCUCCAGCACCUUCCAGUGUAACGGAAUGGAGGGUCGAUACGUCAACGUGGUCCUUCCAGGAAGAAGUGAAUACCUGACCGUGUGUGGGGUGGAGGUCUAUGGGUCACCACUGGACUGAUAGAUCCAGAGCAUUUAUUACCAAAAUGUAAUCUGGAGCACACACUGUUUUCUGGACGUGAUAGAUAACUUAUAUUAAUUAUUUUUUUUAACUAGGCAAGUCAGUUAAGAACAAAUUCAUAUUUACAAUUUGACCUACUGGGGAACAGUGGGUUAACUGCCUUGUUCAGGGGCAGAAUGACACAUUUUUAGCUUGUCAGCUAUGGGAUAUGAUCCAGCAACCUUUUAGUUACUGACACAACGCUCUAACCACUAGGCUACCUGCCACCCUAAAUUAUAUUGUAGGUAACAUUCUCCACACUCUUAGAAAAAAGGGUGUCCUUCAGCUGUCCCCAUAGGAGAACCCUUUUAAGUUCCUGGUAGAAC
Molecule: long non-coding RNA, 1713 nt
Organism: Salvelinus namaycush (lake trout)
Lineage: Eukaryota; Metazoa; Chordata; Actinopteri; Salmoniformes; Salmonidae
Exons: 3
Source: RefSeq, a predicted model, not a curated record